UUUAAUUGAAGAGUUUGAUCAUGGCUCAGAUUGAACGCUGGCGGCAGGCCUAACACAUGCAAGUCGAGCGGCAGCGGGAGGAAGCUUGCUUCCUCGCCGGCGAGCGGCGGACGGGUGAGUAAUGUCUGGGAAACUGCCCGAUGGAGGGGGAUAACUACUGGAAACGGUAGCUAAUACCGCAUAACGUCGCAAGACCAAAGUGGGGGACCUUCGGGCCUCACACCAUCGGAUGUGCCCAGAUGGGAUUAGCUAGUAGGUGGGGUAAUGGCUCACCUAGGCGACGAUCCCUAGCUGGUCUGAGAGGAUGACCAGCCACACUGGAACUGAGACACGGUCCAGACUCCUACGGGAGGCAGCAGUGGGGAAUAUUGCACAAUGGGCGCAAGCCUGAUGCAGCCAUGCCGCGUGUGUGAAGAAGGCCUUCGGGUUGUAAAGCACUUUCAGCGAGGAGGAAGGCGUUGUAGUUAAUAACUGCAGCGAUUGACGUUACUCGCAGAAGAAGCACCGGCUAACUCCGUGCCAGCAGCCGCGGUAAUACGGAGGGUGCAAGCGUUAAUCGGAAUUACUGGGCGUAAAGCGCACGCAGGCGGUCUGUUAAGUCAGAUGUGAAAUCCCCGGGCUUAACCUGGGAACUGCAUUUGAAACUGGCAGGCUAGAGUCUCGUAGAGGGGGGUAGAAUUCCAGGUGUAGCGGUGAAAUGCGUAGAGAUCUGGAGGAAUACCGGUGGCGAAGGCGGCCCCCUGGACGAAGACUGACGCUCAGGUGCGAAAGCGUGGGGAGCAAACAGGAUUAGAUACCCUGGUAGUCCACGCUGUAAACGAUGUCGAUUUGGAGGUUGUGGCCUUGAGCCGUGGCUUCCGGAGCUAACGCGUUAAAUCGACCGCCUGGGGAGUACGGCCGCAAGGUUAAAACUCAAAUGAAUUGACGGGGGCCCGCACAAGCGGUGGAGCAUGUGGUUUAAUUCGAUGCAACGCGAAGAACCUUACCUACUCUUGACAUCCACGGAACUAGCCAGAGAUGGCUUGGUGCCUUCGGGAACCGUGAGACAGGUGCUGCAUGGCUGUCGUCAGCUCGUGUUGUGAAAUGUUGGGUUAAGUCCCGCAACGAGCGCAACCCUUAUCCUUUGUUGCCAGCGGUUCGGCCGGGAACUCAAAGGAGACUGCCAGUGAUAAACUGGAGGAAGGUGGGGAUGACGUCAAGUCAUCAUGGCCCUUACGAGUAGGGCUACACACGUGCUACAAUGGCAUAUACAAAGAGAAGCGAUCUCGCGAGAGCAAGCGGACCUCAUAAAGUAUGUCGUAGUCCGGAUUGGAGUCUGCAACUCGACUCCAUGAAGUCGGAAUCGCUAGUAAUCGUAGAUCAGAAUGCUACGGUGAAUACGUUCCCGGGCCUUGUACACACCGCCCGUCACACCAUGGGAGUGGGUUGCAAAAGAAGUAGGUAGCUUAACCUUCGGGAGGGCGCUUACCACUUUGUGAUUCAUGACUGGGGUGAAGUCGUAACAAGGUAACCGUAGGGGAACCUGCGGUUGGAUCACCUCCUUACC
This 1546-nucleotide ribosomal RNA is filed under the name Gibbsiella quercinecans. Its description in RNAcentral is "16S ribosomal RNA". It matches the Rfam family "Bacterial small subunit ribosomal RNA". Lineage: Bacteria; Pseudomonadati; Pseudomonadota; Gammaproteobacteria; Enterobacterales; Yersiniaceae. The record is from RNAcentral.